AGCAGAACCACGGGCACGGUGAUGAUGGUGACAAGCGCAGCAGCACCCAGCAGUCCCAGAAGAACCUUCCACGGUGUCUGCAAGCCGAGCAGAUCAAGUCCAAUUAGAGGGAAGCGUGUGGCCCCAGUUUCCGUAGGAGGGUCGGGGCUGCUCCAGAGGCAGCAGGAUUUGCAGGAAGGAAGACUGUACACAGAGAAUAAAUAACUUGGCCAAGCCAUUCAGCUAGGAAGUUGUAGAUCCUAAAUUAAGAGUUCAAGGUCUUAAUGGCUACUCUAUGCGGCCUCUCAUAGUCUUUUCAAGGGUUUUGGAGAAGAAUAAAAGAUCAGAUGAGUCAAUGGUGUUACUGGACCCUGUGAACUGAUGCUGUGAAGAGAGGCCAUUUAACACGGACUACGGGGAAUGGUGCCACAGGGGGCUCAGUGCUGCCCUUCACUCUCAGCAUUUUGCUCACUCAGCAUUGAUGACAGGAUGUCCCAAAAGUAACAAAAGAUGGGAGCCAGUCCUCUCAUAGCUGUUUCUUCAAUCAUCCCAUCAACAGCUCUUCAUUUAUUGAACUACCUUCCUUUUCCAAAGAGGUAAUGCUGAGAUCAGUCAGAAAGGCUUUCUGAGAAAACUGGCUUGGAUUUCUGGGUCUGUUGCAGUCAAUUCAAGAUGAACUGGCUUGUAUCAAUGAAGCGCUCAAUGCAGUUCACAAAACAGGCCUCAGCCCGACUGUCCAACUUUGGCCCAGGCUUGUCCAUGCACUUCUCCCAACAAAGUUCAGUCAUCUGGUGCACCAGCUGCUGGAAGCGCUGCUUUUGAGUCUCUACCUCAAUGAAAAUGCUGCAACUGCGGGUCCACUGCACCCAAACCCGCCGCAGAGGAAGAGCAGGAGGAAUCCAUCCCAGGACAACCAUGCUUGCAGAGACGAACUCCGCACCAACCUUCACGUGUCUCCACGACCUAGUUAAUCAAUUUAAAAUGAGGUCACUAGGGUGGGCCCCAAUCCAAUAUGACUGAUAACUUUAUAAAAAGGAGAGAUUUGGAUACAGAAAGAGACAGAGUGAAAACCAUGUGAAGAAACAUAGGAAAAGAUGGCAGCUACAAGCCAAGGAGAAGCUUGCAGUGUGUAUUCAUCUGUUCUCAUGCUGUUAAUAAAGACAUACCUGAGACUGGGUAAUUUAUAAA
Molecule: long non-coding RNA, 1167 nt
Filed under: Homo sapiens (human)
Lineage: Eukaryota; Metazoa; Chordata; Mammalia; Primates; Hominidae
Description: DPP4 divergent transcript
Source: RNAcentral